This 266-nucleotide ribosomal RNA is filed under the name uncultured bacterium. Its description in RNAcentral is "partial 16S ribosomal RNA". It matches the Rfam family "Bacterial small subunit ribosomal RNA", at positions 87 to 354 of the family's 1533-position model. The record is from RNAcentral.
UCCGGCGACCGGCGCACGGGUGAGUAACACGUAUGCAACCUGCCCUCUUCAGGGGGACAACCUUCCGAAAGGGAGGCUAAUCCCGCGUAUAUCGGUUUCGGGCAUCCGAGAUCGAGGAAAGAUUCAUCGGAAGAGGAUGGGCAUGCGGCGCAUUAGCUAGACGGCGGGGUAACGGCCCACCGUGGCGACGAUGCGUAGGGGUUCUGAGAGGAAGGUCCCCCGCACUGGUACUGAGACACGGACCAGACUCCUACGGAAGGCAGCAG